AUACGUAGGGGGCGAGCGUUGUCCGGAAUGACUGGGCGUAAAGGGCGUGUAGGCGGCGGUGUAAGUCUGGAGUGAAAGUCCCGCAUUCAAUGUGGGAAUUGCUUUGGAUACUGCAGUGCUAGAGUGCGGAAGAGGUAAGUGGAAUUCCCAGUGUAGCGGUGAAAUGCGUAGAGAUUGGGAGGAACACCAGUGGCGAAGGCGACUUAAUGGGCCGUAACUAACGCUGCGGCGCGAAAGCGUGGAGAGCGAACAGGAUUAGAUACCCUGGUAGUCCACGCGGGAAACGAUGAAUGCUAGGUGUUGCGUGUAUCGACCCCUGCAGUGCCGGAGUAAACACAAUAAGCAUUCCGCCUGGGGAGUACGGCUGUAAGGUUGAAACUCAAAUGAAUUGACGGGA
This 397-nucleotide ribosomal RNA is filed under the name uncultured bacterium. Its description in RNAcentral is "partial 16S ribosomal RNA". It matches the Rfam family "Bacterial small subunit ribosomal RNA", at positions 523 to 918 of the family's 1533-position model. The record is from RNAcentral.